GUGUUUGUAGCUUAACUGGAUAAAGCAUUAAACUACGAAUUUAGAGAGUGGAAGUUCAAAUCUUUCCAAACACA
RNAcentral lists this transfer RNA (74 nucleotides) under Gelidium coulteri. Its description in RNAcentral is "tRNA-Arg". It matches the Rfam family "tRNA". Rfam says of the family: Transfer RNA (tRNA) molecules are approximately 80 nucleotides in length. The record is from RNAcentral. Lineage: Eukaryota; Rhodophyta; Florideophyceae; Gelidiales; Gelidiaceae. RNAcentral also lists the same sequence under 1 other name.